CCGGGGCUUCUUCUACGGCUACCGUCACCAUCCUCACCGUUGAAAGAGCUUUACAACCCUAAGGCCUUCUUCACUCACGCGGCAUGGCUGGAUCAGGGUUGCCCCCAUUGUCCAAUAUUCCCCA
This 124-nucleotide ribosomal RNA is filed under the name uncultured bacterium. RNAcentral describes it as "partial 16S ribosomal RNA". The record is from RNAcentral.